GACGAACGCUGGCGGCGUGCCUAAUACAUGCAAGUUGAGCGCUGAAGGUUGGUACUUGUACCAACUGGAUGAGCAGCGAACGGGUGAGUAACGCGUGGGGAAUCUGCCUUUGAGCGGGGGACAACAUUUGGAAACGAAUGCUAAUACCGCAUAAAAACUUUAAACACAAGUUUUAAGUUUGAAAGAUGCAAUUGCAUCACUCAAAGAUGAUCCCGCGUUGUAUUAGCUAGUUGGUGAGGUAAAAGCUCAACAAGGCGAUGAUACAUAGCCGACCUGAGAGGGUGAUCGGCCACAUUGGGACUGAGACACGGCCCAAACUCCUACGGGAGGCAGCAGUAGGGAAUCUUCGGCAAUGGACGAAAGUCUGACCGAGCAACGCCGCGUGAGUGAAGAAGGUUUUCGGAUCGUAAAACUCUGUUGGUAGAGAAGAACGUUGGUGAGAGUGGAAAGCUCAUCAAGUGACGGUAACUACCCAGAAAGGGACGGCUAACUACGUG
RNAcentral lists this ribosomal RNA (497 nucleotides) under uncultured bacterium. Its description in RNAcentral is "partial 16S ribosomal RNA". It matches the Rfam family "Bacterial small subunit ribosomal RNA", at positions 28 to 507 of the family's 1533-position model. The record is from RNAcentral.